This is a long non-coding RNA of Xiphophorus hellerii (green swordtail), 639 nucleotides long. RefSeq lists it as uncharacterized. NCBI's taxonomy places the organism in Eukaryota, Metazoa, Chordata, Actinopteri, Cyprinodontiformes, Poeciliidae. The record is from RefSeq and is a predicted model, not a curated record. The transcript has 2 exons.
ACUUGCCUGCGACUGAUGUUGUUUGCACUCAGCCGUCUCGGCUUUGCACUAGGUCGGGUAGGCCUGUUAAGCCUCCAGCCAGACUUAUAUGUGAAAUGAAUGAACAGGUUGUGGAUGAUUCAAUGUCAACUGUGGACUCUCUGUUUUCCUUUGUAAGGACCAUGUUUGCAGGGUAGAUUUGUGUUGUUUCAAAGUUUUUUUGUUUUGUUUUUUUUUCCUCAGUGACUGCUUUGUAGAGCAAUGGUUGUAUGUCAAAAGGUGUAAAUGGCAUCUUUUGGGUCUGUGUUGGUAAGAGUAAUGGCCGCACUUUUGCUAACAUUAUUCCUCAUGGAUAGUUUUGAACUGAUGUGACUACUAUGUGCUCUUUUUAUUGCACUUUUAUUUUAGUGCUGUGUGUACUUGUUUGAUACAACCCCAUUUUAGCAGAAUUUACAGGGGGUGUAUGUAACAUAGUUAAAAUGGUUCAGGUUAAAUCCUGCUAAAAUGCACCAUCUGCUGGUAAAACGGGGUAUUGCAUUCACCCUAGAAAGAGCGGGGUAUUAUGGGUAAUCCUCAGAGCCAUGAGGAUCACUGUCGAGGAGUUUCUUUCAUGCCAGAGACUGACUUUACCUCGGUGCCCAUGUGUGAAAUGCAGGUAUG